GCAGACACAUUCCAGCCAAUCAGCAGCAGACCCUCCCUCCCAGACCCUCCCACCUCCUGGACAGCUCACUAAGAAUGCAGCUUCACAUUGAAUGUAAAAUGGAUGCUGUCCAGGAGGUGGGAGGGUCUGGGAGGGAGGGUCUGCUGCUGAUUGGCUGGAAUGUGUCUG
Non-coding RNA from Pelobates cultripes (western spadefoot toad), 168 nucleotides. NCBI's taxonomy places the organism in Eukaryota, Metazoa, Chordata, Amphibia, Anura, Pelobatidae. The record is from the annotation of a GenBank genome assembly.